RNAcentral lists this small RNA (29 nucleotides) under Bombyx mori (domestic silkworm). RNAcentral's name for it is "ovarian small RNA-22184". The record is from RNAcentral. Lineage: Eukaryota; Metazoa; Arthropoda; Insecta; Lepidoptera; Bombycidae.
UAGAUUGUCACCAUUAACCACAACGCAAU